AUUCAGUACAUCAUCGAUUGU
This 21-nucleotide microRNA is filed under the name Ananas comosus (pineapple). RNAcentral describes it as "microRNA s1693_c111b". Lineage: Eukaryota; Viridiplantae; Streptophyta; Magnoliopsida; Poales; Bromeliaceae. The record is from RNAcentral.